AUAGUGGAAUUUUUUUUUCUUUAUGCAAAUCAGUUUGUGUUAUUAAGGCAGAAAGCUCUGCGCUAGUAAACCACCUCUGCCGAAGGCUUCAAAUUUCCAUUUGAAACUGAUGGGAAAAUUGAGGCGGAAGAUAGGAUAUGUCCAUAUUGUGAGCUAGCUGCUCUCUUCCAGCUAUGUAUCAAGCUCUCUGGGUUUGGUUCCCAACAUAUUAUUUUGGUACAUAGUUCAUCACUGAGGCAGGCAAAAGAAAUCAAGAAUGUAUUGAUGUAUUUAGCUCAGCAAGGUCAGCUGUGCCUUGGAUUUAUUUGAAACAGACUUGGGUAGACUUAACUAGGAUGAGAUGGAGAGAUAAGAAGACAGAGGAGUAUGACUGCUGGCAAAUUAAAUUUUCAGAAUUUACUGGUCAAAAAAUCAAAGUUUUUAAAAAUAGAAUUACAGGUUUUCAAAUUAUUCCCAGCGCAGGUGAAGAUCUUAGCAUGGCAAACAUAAAUCUAUUAACUGAAAUGCCAUCAGUGCCACCUGUCUUGUGAAGACCCCUUCAAAGUUUAAUCCACAGGUCUUGUAGCCUGUCAAAAAAAACCCCUCAGUUAACAACUUGGAGUCCCCGAAGCCCAUGGAUGAACCACAAGAUGUCGAUAAGGAAUAUACAAGAAAGUCAAAAUGAUGGAAUCAAUUUUGCUUUCUAAGUACCUUUAUCCCACUUUAUGGAGUUAAACGAUCUGCAGUGAAUGAACCCACAAAAACCUCCCAGAUUUGCUCCCAUCAAUUUCUUCAUGGAAGAGGCUUUGCUACCCUAUGUUGAUUGGGUUGGAGCAGCACGAACUAGACCUGGCAUACACACAGUGUUGUGGCAGUGGUUGUUGCAGCAGCUGUGGUGUGGCAAGACACACUGAUGGUAAGUCCAAGAAUUUGUCUUGACGGGCCUGGGUGAUAAGCACCACCAUGAAGAAAAGACUUCUGUCACAGCAAGCAAAGGCCAGAUCCCCAGGAAAGUAUCUGUCUUCCUAUCAAAAUACCAGGAUGGUGAAAAAGGCUCUCAUGGCUUAUGGGCAGCUGUGUCUGAGAUGGCUUCCCCUGCUUGUCUUGUGUUUCCUGCAUUGUACUGCUCUCCUUUGUCUCCUCUCUAGUGCUGUCGUGGAGAAAUCACCGAUAUGUGUCUUUUACAAACAGAUCAAUAGACCAAAAAGGUUGAUCAUUAGGAAGAUAAGACCACCCUAGCACAUCACCAGUUGUUUUAAGAUGUUUCUGAUUAAUGAUUCUAUUUUAGCUAUUUCAGUGCUCAGCAGUCUUUAUUUUUCAGUGUUGAUAGUGGAAGUCCAUGCCUUUCCUGAAUCGGAGUUAUUUUGACCAGUAAUCCAAACGUGGGUCAACUCAAAUCAAUAGAAAUGUCAUUAGCAUCCCAGUACUGUGAAAGACAAUAUGAACAUUUCUCAUGCAUUCAGUUUAUUAAAAUUUACUAAAGUGUGAAAUACGUAUGACAAGUAAUGAUGUUUUAAUCUUUCACCAAGGUAACAAUUGAAAGCUGAUUGAUUCCAUUCAGUAAUUAUAAAAUCAAAAUGAUGGAAGAUUGUAAUCAAAAAGGAUUCUGUCUCAUACUUUGUCAUGCCUCCAUGCAAGAUAAAAUUCUUAUUUGUAACAUCUCUUUUAUCCAAAAAGUAAUCAAACUCUUAUUUGGCCAGUUGAAAUCUCAUGGCUGGUUGGACAGCAAACUUUCUUUUAAACUCUGAUGAGGAGAAAAAAGUGGCCUGCAUCCACCAAAGCUGCCGGUUUUCCAGGAGAAUGUCAUAGGAGACAGUAUCAAAGGCUUUACUAAAGUCCAGGUAGACAAUACCUACAGCCUUUCCCUCAUCCACUAGGCAGGUUACCUGGUCAUAAAUGGAGAUCAGGUUGGUCAGGCAGGACCUGCCUUUCACAGCCCCCUGCUGGCUAGGCCUGAUCCUUUAGUUGUCCUAUAUGUGCAGUGUGAUCACCUGCAAGAGGAUCUUUAUUCCAAAACCUUCUCCAGCAGCAGGGUCAGGCUGACACUCUGUAAUUCCCCAGAUCUUCCUUCUGGCUCUUUUUGUGGAUAGCCAUCACACCAUUCAGCUUUCAGUCAUCUGGGACCUCCCUGGUUAUCUAGGACUGAUAAAUGAUGGAAAGCAGCUUGGUGAGGUCUUUUGCCACCUCCCUCAGUAUCCUUAGAUGAAUCUUAUCUGUUGCCAUACACUUAUGAAUGUCUGAAUAGCUCAGCAAGUCACUAACUACUUAUUCCUGGAUUUCAAGUGGUCUUUUCUGCUCCCUCUCCCUGUCUACCAGCAACCAGGGACUGGUUGCCCUGAGGAUAUCCAGUCUUUCUGUAAAAGACUGAAGCAAAGAAGGCAUCAAGUAUCUCAGCCUUUUCCUCAUCCUUGGUGAAAAUGUUCUCCUCCCCAUCUAAAAAAGGAUAGAGAUCUUCCUUGUCCUUUUGUUUGGAGGAUUUACAAAAACAUUUUACCAUGUUUCAAAGCAGUGACCAGAUUCAGUUCUAGCUGAGCUUUCACCUUUCUGAAUUUCUAUCUAUAUGAUCCAGCAACACCCUUGUACUCUUCCAGAGUUGUCUUCACCUUCUUCCAAAGGUCAAAAGUUCUCUUUAUUUCCCUGACUUCCUGCAAAAGCUCCCUUUUCAGCUAGGCCAGUCUUCUUCCCAACUAGCUUGUCUUUUGGUACAUAGAGAUGGCCUGCUCCUGCACCUUUAAGAUUUCCUCCUAAAGUAUGUCCAGCCCUCCUGGACCCAUUUGCUAUUAAGAACUCUUUUUCAGGGAGCUCUAUGAACCAGUGUUGGAACAGGUUGAAGUCUAAGGUAGAAGAUUUGUUACCCACUUCCUUACUUCCACCCAGUUGUUUCAUAUUCAUUGAAACAGUCCAUAUCUCCCACCAGCCCUUCUUUGUUUUCAAACAACAGGUCUGUCAGGGCACUGACCCUGACAGACUCACUUAUGAAGAUAGGAAAUUAUCUUCUGCACACUCAGGAAUCUCUUAGACUGACCUCUCUCAGCUGUGUUGAGUUUCCAGCAGACAUCCAGUAAGGUAAAGUCUCCAACAAGAGCAAGGGUUAGCACUCUUGGAACCUCAGUCAGCCACUCAUGGAAUACUUCAUCUGCCUCUUCAUUCUCGUAGUGUACAGUAUAUCUGCCUUGUUAGCCUUCCCCCUAAGUCUUACCCACAGCCACUCAGCCUUGUCAUCACUGUCCUUCAGCUCUGUGCAGUGUUUCACUCCCUAAUGUACAAAGCCACUCCACUGCCUCUUCUUCCCCACCUGUCCCUUCUGAAGAACCAUUAUAAUUCUUGUGACACCACUCCAGCCAUGUGAGUCAUCCCACUGCCUUUCGGUGAUGGUGACAGUCACAUCUUUCCUGCUGCCAAUGGCUUCCUCCUGUUUGUUGCUUUGUUACCCAUACUGUGUGCACUGUGUGGAUGCUCUUCAGCUGGACUACUGAUUUCACUCCCAGUGCUAACACGCCCACUCUAGGCUCAUCUCUGCUGAGGCUAGUUUUAGCAUAGUCCCCCUUAAACUUGGUUUAAAACCCUCUCAAUCAGUCCUGUCAACUCAUGGGCUAGAAUUCCUUUUCCCUCUUUUGGACAGGCAAACCCUAUCUCUUUCCAGCAGGCACCAUAUAAAACACCCCAUGAGCAAAAAAGCCAGAAUUCCAACAGUGGCACCAAUCUUUAAGCCACAUGUUGAUCAGGUGGCUGUUCCUGUUGGCAUUCUUCCCUGCUACUGAAAUAAUUGAGGAAAACAACAUCUAUGCUCCUGUCCUUACAACCAGUUAACCCAGUGCCCUGAAGUCCUUUUUGAUUGUUGUAGGACUUCUCUCUUCAGUGUCAUUACUGCCAACCUGGGCAACAACAGUGGAUAAUAAAUCAGCAUGUUCCCUGACUCAGUUCAGGGAAUCUUCUAGUAACAUCUCUCACCCAGGCUCCAGGGAGGUAGCAGAUUUCCCUGUGGAAUAGGUGCUUUUGGCCAUGGGAGCCUCAGUACCCCUCAGAAGGAAUUAAUCUAGAAAACACCAGGAAUUUUCCUUUUAUAUGUCUAAGGGGAGACACCAUUUAAAAUGUCAAAAAAAAAAAAAAGUAAAAAAAAAAUUAAAAAUAAAAGUUAAAAGGAAAAUAAAAAAUCAGUAUUUCUUUGGUUUUCUAGUGACUCAGCAAAAGCAAAAUCUGGCCCUGUGUUGUUAGGAAGAAGUAAAUUUUAAAUUCUUUUAAACUGCAGCUUCUCACUGCAACAUUUUGCGUGAUGCAGGUUAAUGGCUGACUGCUAAAAAGAGAACUUCUUAGUUUCAGUUGUCUAAUGGGAUUUUUGGCAAGCUGCUUGUUAGAAGGAUUAUUUUCUUUAACAAUAUUGCUGUAGGAAUGCAUCUUCUAAAUAGCCUGCUACAUUAUUUUGACAUGACCUUCAUAUCUUUUGAACUUACAUUUUCUGGAAUUCUUUUUCUCCCAUUAAGAAGCAAUGUUGUUGGGUGUGUUUUUUCUAAUAAAUCUGGAUGGAUGAUCAGGAAAAAAAACCUGGUGUGUCCAAUGGCUUGAUAAUUUCAGGGUCAAAACAGAUUUUAUGUAUUGGUCUUCUUUCACUUGCUGAUGCAUCUAUUUAACCAAGCAGCUGGUGCAUAAGAUCUAGCUGGCAGCACACAGAAUGCAUUAGGAGAACAAAGGGAAUGUGAGAUUAAACCAAAAAGAGGCAAGAACAGAGUUUCCUCACUGUUCUGCAUGAAGGUAGGAGCUGCUCCGAGAGGAUGCAAACUCAAUUUUCUUAUUGGACUUCUGGCCUCUUACCUCCAUCAGAUUAUUCAAAGGUAAAUUUGCUUUUCACUCUCUCAGAAAGACCAUUUUCCCCUCACUGGUAUGUUUAUUUAUUAGUAACAUUAUUUGUAAAAUGCUAACUUCAUUGGCUGCACUGUUACGAUGUUAUCUCUGUGUGCUUCUGUGAGAAUAUAACAAUGUCAUGAAGAAAAAUGAUGUAAAAAUGAUGCGGGUACAUAAAAUGGGAUUGACAAAAUGUAAUAAAUCACUGCUGGGCUGAGGAACAGACCUGCAUGUGUAAUGAAAUACUUCAGCAUUACAUCAUCGUUUAUGUAACAUCUGGCAGAGCCUUGUAUUUCAGUGCUGCUUUGAAUUGGGAUCAUUUUUUUCUCUCAGAUAAAAGAGAAAAACAAGCCUCUAGGUUUUGCACAUAGAAAACUGUAAAGAAAAAAAAUAAGAAAAAAAAUAACCCUUAAAAUACCCCAGAGAAGUUUCCCUCUGAGAAGUUCUGUCAUCUCCAACUGGAUGCAAAUAAUAUAAUGACUGAGCUGCAUACAAAAUAGCAUCCUAGAAGAUGUUUUCAAUUUUAUAAGAGAAACAUAUUUUAACAUGAAGGCUUUUUUUUGAGAUUAUUUCAUCCAAGAAGAAUUUUUAUAAUUGACAUCAUUAUACAUGCCUUGGAACCAGACUUUUAACAAAAAAAAAAAAUGCAGGUGUGCAUUCUAUGUACUUUAGUGUUUUCCACUUCAUGUUUUUUUUCAAACGAGAAUUGAAUUAUCUUUAUUGUGGACUCCUAGUCUUGUCUGAUGCAAACAUACGGGUACUAUUUCAGUGUGGAUUCCUCCAUCCCAGGCUGCCAUCAGAGUCUUCCUCAUCCCAGGAACUCUGCCCUGUUCACCUGUGGUGCCAGCCAUGCCAACAUGAUGGGCUGGUGGGGUGAGGAUUAGUUGAAAUGUGUUUAAUUGCUGUUGAAACAGAUGAAAUCAGAAAUGUGAAUGUCUGCUGCAAAAGUAUCUGGAUAGCACACUCACCUGUCUGAAAUCAGUAGAAAUCUUGCUAUUAAUUUCUAGGGUUCUUGGCUGUUGCCUUGUGCCUCUUGCCUCUGAAGCCUUUGGGAGGUCCUGGUGUGGUGGUGGUGGUGUGAGGGUGCUGCAGGGAUCCAGGCUGCCAGCCCUCUCAGCAGAUAACUUUCCUUCCCUAAACUUUUGGUGAGUUGCAGCUGUCCAGAAUGCAGUGCUGGAGCAUUGACAAA
Parus major (Great Tit) is the source of this 6007-nucleotide long non-coding RNA. RefSeq lists it as uncharacterized. The record is from RefSeq and is a predicted model, not a curated record. The transcript is spliced from 3 exons. NCBI's taxonomy places the organism in Eukaryota, Metazoa, Chordata, Aves, Passeriformes, Paridae.